Molecule: long non-coding RNA, 643 nt
Filed under: Helianthus annuus (common sunflower)
Lineage: Eukaryota; Viridiplantae; Streptophyta; Magnoliopsida; Asterales; Asteraceae
Description: sRNA HanXRQr2_Chr06g0258001
Source: RNAcentral
GUUUGUCGCCUAACGAGCUAGGUGGAGGCUUGGAAAAGAAGCGGUCAAACGAAUCAAGCACGAGAAGAAAACGUAUUCGGAUGCGAGGUAAGUAGAGCUUACGCCCCUUUACAUUAUUUGGAUGAUAUAAUGUCUAGGAGUAAAACCCUAGUCAAUCACAUGUUGAAAUCAUGCUUAUUUCUUGUGAAUUCACAAUCACCAUUGAAGGUGAUAAGUGGGUGUAGUAGGAACAUGUUAAACACUAGAAUUUUAAUUGUGGUUCUAGUGUAAUUUGAGUUCUAGGAAGUAAAUUCAGAUUUUUGUUAAUGUGAAAAUUUAUGUAAACAUGCUUAGUUGAUGUUAACCAUGGCUAAAUGACAAGUAUUGAGCUUGUUAAUAAAUUGUGAGAAAUUAUGCCCGCAAGGUGUUUGUUAAAAUGCCUAAGUGAAUGUUAUAUGUUGAGAUUACGAAUGAAACGCGUAAUUGCCUUGUUUGACUAAAUACGUAAGGUGGAAUAGUCGUGAAUUGAAAUGACUAAUCUAACCACCUUGUGAAUAAUGAUAGUUUGUCGCCUAACGAGCUAGGUGGAGGCUUGGAAAAGAAGCGGUCAAACGAAUCAAGCACGAGAAGAAAACGUAUUCGGAUGCGAGUGGUUGGUAUAUGA